AUUCUACCCAUCUCCUUACUCAGGACGCCAUCGCGGGUUUCCCAGGGCCAACCAUUCCCGCCGCGCCACCCUAAGACGCGCCCGGCGCCCAAACACUGAGGAAGCGGGUGGGGUCCCCUGCGGCCCCUGCAGCGGGAGGGGCGCCCGGACGUCACAGCAGGGCCGCCCGCCCGCCUCGCGGCCUCCCGCCUCCCGCCCCGCGGACCCCGCGCGUCCCCCGCGCUCCUUCCGUGGCCCAGGUCCCAGGCGAGCUCCGCCCCUCAGACCAGCGCGCUCGAGGUCGCCCCGCCACAGCCCGUCCUCUACCCGCCUCUGCUGGAAAACAGGCCGCAGAAUAUAGGUGUUCUCGGGCUCCCCUGCGUUCUUCUCAGCCUCAGGCACCCCGUCGCCCACCGAGAAGGACACUCCGAUGGACGUGGCCAUGCCGGGGCUUCUCGGUCCGGGCGUAGCUCGCGAUGAAGGCCUAGCGGGUUGCGGUCGCGGCCGGCAGCAGGGAAAGCGUCUCCAGGGCAACAGGGCCGCCCUCCCGCCUCGCUGAAGCCCGCGAGCGCCCCGCACAGCCGCCCUCCCUGCCCGCGCCUGCGCACCGGCUGCUGGGCGGGAACUGGUCGCGUCCGGACGCGCGACAGCUUCCACCCGCCUCAGGCAGUAUCAGCCGCGCCGCAGUCGGAGGAAAUAGACGCGGGGCCUGAGGCUCCUGGACUUGAGAAAGGAUUCAAGACAGCCGAUGAUGAAAACACCCAUGCUUGCAAGUGAAGGUUCUGCCUGUCACUUCUCGCAGAGGCUGCAGAAAAGGCCCAGGAGGCUGUUGAUGACAUGAACGACCACCAGGAGAAGCUGGAGCAGGCUGAUGCACAGAAGGGCGGAGAAGAGGGACACGUGCCAGACAACAGCUGCAGAGGGCUCCAGGCAGACGGAGUUCCAGAGCGAACGGUCAUACAGAUAAUUCCUAUCCCAAAAAAUAAGGAGACCAGGGGUCAGGCGAUAAGUAAGGAAAGCCAAACAGGCAACCCCAGUAGAAAACUGGGGUCUCCCCUGACCGGGUCAUGGGACUGGGCUCAUGAGGGUGACCGUUACUGCUCCAUUUGCAAUUUUCUGAGUAUCAGAGGAGCAAGAUGCUAGGAUGUGUGACCCAAAGGAGCUUGUAGUUCGUCUGUGUGUCUUUUUGUCUCUCUCUCUCUCUCUGUCUGAAAAGACCAAGCCCAAGCCUCCACCCAUUUACCUACUAUGCAGGUCUUUGAAUGGGUAACCAUAUUUCCAAGCUUGUGUCUGAUUGAAGGAUGAAACAUCAAACAUGCAAAAAGGACCAUCUUUCAGAGCAACUCCAGAAGUGACAAAGCAAAUCAGGGCUCCAAGUAAAGCCAGGCCACCUGACAACAGAGCAGUAAGCACCUGCGGAGGGAGGAGAAACACUGAGCUAAGACGGGGUCGCAGCUGGGGAGCCUGCGGAGGGAGGAGAAACGCUGAGCUAAGACGGGGUCGCAGCUGGGGAGUCUGUGGGGCGGUCUGCACAGGUCUGACUUCUCUGGUCUCAGUGUUCUUCCGUCCUGUCAUGGGGGAGAAUUCUGUCCAUGGCACCCCCUUUGAAGCAUAACCCAUGGUGGGGAGGCCGUGAGGGGUUUCUAGGAGAGAAAGGACCAAGAAGCAGAAUCGCAGGCCCCGGAUCUCCCUGACCGUGAGUUCGCCUGAGCUGCUCAGCAGCUUGGCAUCACAAACCUUUUGCACAUUACAGCCAUUCAGCCUCUGAGCUAAAGAAGAAGCUACCACAGGCCCACCACUGACUCUUCUAAGGAAAAGCUGCAUUUUCAAAAGUUCCAGGUUCCCAACUCUGAUUCUUCUCUAUUUCAAAUCAAGGAUAAAAAAAAGGAAGGGAGGGAAGGAAGGAAAGAAAGAAGCAGGAAAGAAGGGAAGGAGAGAAGUGGGAGGGAGGGAAAGAAGGGAGAGAAACAGCGAGAGAGAAGCUGCAGCCAAGCUCUGAAAUGACUCCACUUCUGUCGCUGUGUUUCUCCAGCUGAGAGCUUUCUUGGCCAUCAGUCUGUGCUCCCACUGCCCUCCCAGAAAAUAACUGGGUUUCCUUCCUUGACAGGUUUCUAGCCUGCUUCUACAUUGGCUUCUUUCUCGUUCCUUCCUUCCUUCCCUUCCUUCCUUCUUUCUCUCUCUCUCUUUCUUUUUGAGACAGAGUCUCACUCUGUCGCCCAGGCUGGAGUGCAGUGGCACGAUCUCAGCUCACUGCAACCUCUGCCUCUGAGUUCAAGCGAUUCUCCUGCCUCAGCCUCCCAAGUAGCUGGGACUACAAGCAUGCGCCACCACACCCAGCUAAUUUUUGUAUUUUUAGUAGAAAUGGGGUUUCACUGUGUUGGUCAUGCCGGUCUCAAUCUCCUGACCUUGUGAUCCACCUGCUUCAGCCUCCCAAAGUGCUGGGAUUACAGGCAUGAGCCACCGUGCCCGGCCCAUAUUGGAUUCUUUCUUAGGGUUCUAGAUUUUUUUCUCCCUCCCCCAAAAAUGCCUAUUUUAAAAAUGUGAAUAACACCUACAUAGCGUUUUUCUGCAGAGUCAUGGAGUCAUUCUCCCACUGAGGUCAAGCUGGUUUGGAGUUGGGGAGGGAUCAGACAAAGGUGCAUAGUAAGUUUUGACUCUGAGUUAAAGGAGUCAAGAUGAAUCAGUAAGCCUAGGGCAGUGGUUCCCAAAAUGGGGUCCCUGCCCAGCCGCAUCACAUCACCUGAGAACCUGUUAGAAAUGCAAAACUUCCCCGCCAUCCUGAAUCAGAAACUCUGGGGAGGGAGCCCAGCAAUCCGUGUUCCGGCAAAAGCCCUCCAGGUGAUUCUCAUGCACAUUCAAGUGUCAGAACUACGUGCCACGGGGAAAACCAGAAUGAGAACAGACAGUGAAUGAAAUGUGCAAGUGUUUAUUUAUUUAUCUAUGUACUUAUUUAUUUAUUUAUUUUGAAACGGAGUCUCGCUCUGUCGCCCAGGCUGGAGUGCAGUGGCGCCAUCUCGGCUCACUGCAAGCUCCGCCUCCCGGGUUCAAGAGAUUUUCCUGCCUCAGCCUCCUGAGUUGCUGGGAUUACAGGCGCCCACCACCACGCCCAGCUAAUUUUUGUAUUUUUGGUAGAGACGGGGUUUCACCAUGUUGGCCAGGCUGGUCUCAAACUCCUGACCUCAGGUGAUCCGCCCAUCUUGGCCUCCCAAAGUGCUGGGAUUACAGGCGUGAGCCACCGCGCCUGGCCUAUAUUUGAUUUUUUAACAUGUAACUGAGUCAGUGGGCUUCCCAACAUGUGGGCUGCAGAUAUCAGAGCAGGCUGUGGAGUUACCAUAAGGCCACAGAUUCAUGUCUGAGAACGAGUGUGUGUGUGUGUGUGUGUGUGUGUUUGUUACACACACAUAUACUGAGAUCUUUCAAGUUUAUACAGUUGCUGCUGUAAUUAAUAAGGUAGAAAUUUAUUCUGGGCCUCAGUUUAUCUGUAAAAUGGAGGGGUUAGAUUAGAAUCUAGUGAUUAGAUGAUCUCUGGAAAACUUUCCUGUUCUAAGAAAAUAUUAGUUAAAAUAACUAGGAAAAUUUCCAUCAAUGACACAUGAUUACAGUGUCAUAACUCAUGUCCAUAUUGUCCAACACCCUAAGAGAGUAACAGUUUCUCACACUGGUACAGACGUCUGGGUCCUCACACUGGUACAGACGUCUGGGCUUCACUAAGCACUACUCCCUUGACUUGAUCAGCUCCCAUUUUACAGAUGAAAGCCUGAAACUGGAAAGAUGAAGCAACUUGCCCAAGAACUUAGCGUUACUGAGGGUCACAGUGAGGACCUGACUUCAGGCCCCAAGACCAAAAUUGCCUCUUUACCGCCCUGCCUCUAGAGUAAUAGAGGUGGAGACAUUCUGGGUGUUAGAAGAGUGGAAUCUGGUGCUUACGCUUCGACAGAGCCCACUCUUACUGAAGCAGCCGUAUCUCCAGCCCAUCAAGGAGAUGAGGAUAGCUGCAGUGAGUACCUGCAGGAGAGAGAAGAAUGUUGAGAUGGGGAAAUCGACUUUGCCGGCUGUUUCUAGGUGCUGCCCACAGCUGUUAGAGUGGCUGGCAGCUCACAUGAACGCAGUCCUGUUGACUCUGACUCUGGGGACCCACAUUUGUAUGACGAGCCUGAUCUAACGCUGUGGAUGUUAACUUUCACACCCGACCUGCCUGGUCCCAAGCUAGGCUUCCUGUCUCUUAGAGCUUCUACAGACCCAAGAUCAGCUUGUUAGAAUAAACUUUUCUGCAAG
RNAcentral lists this long non-coding RNA (4254 nucleotides) under Homo sapiens (human). RNAcentral describes it as "HSALNT0317571". Lineage: Eukaryota; Metazoa; Chordata; Mammalia; Primates; Hominidae. The record is from RNAcentral.